This 213-nucleotide ribosomal RNA is filed under the name uncultured Escherichia sp. Its description in RNAcentral is "partial 16S ribosomal RNA". It matches the Rfam family "Bacterial small subunit ribosomal RNA", at positions 302 to 507 of the family's 1533-position model. The record is from RNAcentral. Lineage: Bacteria; Pseudomonadati; Pseudomonadota; Gammaproteobacteria; Enterobacterales; Enterobacteriaceae.
GACCAGCCACACUGGAACUGAGACACGGUCCAGACUCCUACGGGAGGCAGCAGUGGGGAAUAUUGCACAAUGGGGGCAAGCCUGAUGCAGCCAUGCCGCGUGUAUGAAGAAGGCCUUCGGGUUGUAAAGUACUUUCAGCGGGGAGGAAGGGAGUAAAGUUAAUACCUUACUCAUGACGUACUACCUGCAGAAGAAGCACCGGCUAACUCCGUG